Molecule: non-coding RNA, 20 nt
Filed under: Arabidopsis thaliana (thale cress)
Lineage: Eukaryota; Viridiplantae; Streptophyta; Magnoliopsida; Brassicales; Brassicaceae
Source: RNAcentral
UAGUGUCUUCUUGGUUUGCA